RNAcentral lists this ribosomal RNA (438 nucleotides) under uncultured bacterium. RNAcentral describes it as "bacterial SSU rRNA". It matches the Rfam family "Bacterial small subunit ribosomal RNA", at positions 8 to 446 of the family's 1533-position model. The record is from RNAcentral.
AGAGUUUGAUCCUGGCUCAGAUUGAACGCUGGCGGCAUGCCUUACACAUGCAAGUCGAACGGCAGCACGGGGGCAACCCUGGUGGCGAGUGGCGAACGGGUGAGUAAUACAUCGGAACGUGUCCUGUAGUGGGGGAUAGCCCGGCGAAAGCCGGAUUAAUACCGCAUACGAUCUACGGAAGAAAGCGGGGGAUCCUUCGGGACCUCGCGCUAUAGGGGCGGCCGAUGGCAGAUUAGCUAGUUGGUGGGGUAAAGGCCUACCAAGGCGACGAUCUGUAGCUGGUCUGAGAGGACGACCAGCCACACUGGGACUGAGACACGGCCCAGACUCCUACGGGAGGCAGCAGUGGGGAAUUUUGGACAAUGGGGGAAGCCCUGAUCCAGCAAUGCCGCGUGUGUGAAGAACGCCUUCGGGUUGUAAAGCACUUUUGUCCGGAAA